AGUGAACGCUGGCGGUAGGCCUAACACAUGCAAGUCGAACGGCAGCACAGUAAGAGCUUGCUCUUACGGGUGGCGAGUGGCGGACGGGUGAGGAAUACAUCGGAAUCUACUUUUUCGUGGGGGAUAACGUAGGGAAACUUACGCUAAUACCGCAUACGACCUACGGGUGAAAGUAGGGGAUCUUCGGACCUUGCGCGAUUGAAUGAGCCGAUGUCGGAUUAGCUAGUUGGCGGGGUAAAGGCCCACCAAGGCGACGAUCCGUAGCUGGUCUGAGAGGAUGAUCAGCCACACUGGAACUGGGACACGGUCCAGACUCCUACGGGAGGCAGCAGUGGGGAAUAUUGGACAAUGGGCGCAAGCCUGAUCCAGCCAUACCGCGUGGGUGAAGAAGGCCUUCGGGUUGUAAAGCCCUUUUGUUGGGAAAGAAAAGCAGCAGGUUAAUACCCCGCUGUUCUGACGGUACCCAAAGAAUAAGCACCGGCUAACUUCGUG
Molecule: ribosomal RNA, 492 nt
Filed under: uncultured bacterium
Lineage: Bacteria
Description: partial 16S ribosomal RNA
Rfam family: Bacterial small subunit ribosomal RNA
Source: RNAcentral